AUGGUCUCAAAGCAUUGGAGAUGUUGCUAAAUCAAACACUCAUCCAUACACACAAUCAAAAUAUUAAAUUUUAAUUUUACUCUCAAGUUUCCAUAAAAGUAUACAUCGUACAUACAAGAACAGAACAACAUCUAAUUAAAUUACAAAAUAAAAAGCUUGUAAUGGCAGCUGGGGUUGUAUCGAAUUCAACAAUAGGCUCUUAUUUUUGAGAAUAUCUCCUUGUAUAGGAAGUAGCUUGUUCAAUCUCACCUGCAAGCUGCAAAUACAAUAAUAUAUAUAUGAAUAAAAAUCAAUAGUUUUCCAAGAAUUGCAAAUGUUUACAUAAGAAUAAAUUAUAAACAAGAAAAAAAUAAUUGGUGUAUAUAUAUAAUUACAUGUGAUAAUGUGACAAUUAAAUAUAAAUUAUUAAAUAAAUAUUACUCUUUAAUUCCUUACAAAUAUAACAGGCGAGGGGCACAAUAAAUUCAAAAUAAAAUUUAUAUAAAAAUAAAUAAAUACAAAAAUUUAUGUAUUAGAUAAAAGCUCAUAAACUAAUAAUAAAGUUGAAAAUAAAUUAAAGUAGGAAUAUCAAAGUUUCUUUUUUUUUUUCUGCAAAAACAAUUAUACAAGUAUUUAAUUUGAAAAAGAAAAAUGAAAAAUCACAAUUUACCACCGCGAAGAACGGGAAGCAACGCCUGUAUGUAUCCAAGUUAACUUGUAUUAACCUAACAACUGCCACCACCACCGCCACCACCACCGCCUCAACAACCGCCACCACCACAUCCGCCACCACCGCCUCCACAACCGCCACCUCCACAAACACCUCCGCCACCAACACCGCCACCAUAACCAUGCUUCCUCUUGUGAGGUUUGCCAGAACCAGAACCACAGGCAAAAACAAUAGCUGAUAUAAUUGAGAGAGACAAAGCGAACAUCCAAAGCAAGAGAAAGGGUUGAGAGAAGUGUAGCAGAAGGCCUACGGCAGCUUCACCUCCACGGCCGUUUGCUAAAGUAAGAGUAUGUCUCGCCAUCUUUUGGUUGCCUUAUCACCUCAUACCCUAAUGCAAUUACCUUAGCUUCAUAGAUAUAUUUCUAUUAAGGUUGACAUUUCAAAGA
RNAcentral lists this unclassified non-coding RNA (1095 nucleotides) under Hevea brasiliensis (rubber tree). The record is from RNAcentral. Lineage: Eukaryota; Viridiplantae; Streptophyta; Magnoliopsida; Malpighiales; Euphorbiaceae.